CAGAUGAGGAUGAAUGGUAAAUACCAUAAUCCCACACUUGAUCUGAGGAAUCUGUUUCCCUUGAGGUUAAAUAAUGCCCUUCUGAAUCUGU
This is a small nucleolar RNA of Papaver somniferum (opium poppy), 91 nucleotides long. RefSeq annotates it as small nucleolar RNA snoR31. Lineage: Eukaryota; Viridiplantae; Streptophyta; Magnoliopsida; Ranunculales; Papaveraceae. The transcript has a single exon. The record is from RefSeq and is a predicted model, not a curated record.